Molecule: ribosomal RNA, 252 nt
Filed under: uncultured bacterium
Lineage: Bacteria
Description: partial 16S ribosomal RNA
Rfam family: Bacterial small subunit ribosomal RNA
Source: RNAcentral
UACGGGGGGGCAAGCGUUGUUCGGAAUUACUGGGCGUAAAGCGUGCGCAGGCGGCGCGUUAAGACAGGUGUGAAAGCCCCGAGCUUAACUUGGGAAUUGCGCUUGUGACUGGCGUGCUGGAGUGUGGCAGAGGGAGGUGGAAUUCCACGUGUAGCAGUGAAAUGCGUAGAGAUGUGGAGGAACACCGAUGGCGAAGGCAGCCUCCUGGGCCAGCACUGACGCUCAUGCACGAAAGCGUGGGGAGCAAACAGG